UACGGAGGGUGCAAGCGUUAUCCGGAUUCACUGGGUUUAAAGGGUGCGUAGGUGGGCAGGUAAGUCAGUGGUGAAAUCUCCGGGCUUAACCCGGAAACUGCCAUUGAUACUAUCAGUCUUGAAUAUCGUGGAGGUAAGCGGAAUAUGUCAUGUAGCGGUGAAAUGCUUAGAUAUGACAUAGAACACCAAUUGCGAAGGCAGCUUACUACCCGAAUAUUGACACUGAGGCACGAAAGCGUGGGGAUCAAACAGG
This 253-nucleotide ribosomal RNA is filed under the name uncultured bacterium. RNAcentral's name for it is "partial 16S ribosomal RNA". It matches the Rfam family "Bacterial small subunit ribosomal RNA", at positions 524 to 776 of the family's 1533-position model. The record is from RNAcentral.